UGCAUAUCGAAUAAAAUGGAGGAAUGG
Molecule: non-coding RNA, 27 nt
Filed under: Rattus norvegicus (Norway rat)
Lineage: Eukaryota; Metazoa; Chordata; Mammalia; Rodentia; Muridae
Source: RNAcentral